Molecule: ribosomal RNA, 497 nt
Filed under: uncultured bacterium
Lineage: Bacteria
Description: partial 16S ribosomal RNA
Rfam family: Bacterial small subunit ribosomal RNA
Source: RNAcentral
GAUGAACGCUGGCGGCGUGCCUAAUACAUGCAAGUCGAGCGAACAGACGAGGAGCUUGCUCCUCUGACGUUAGCGGCGGACGGGUGAGUAACACGUGGAUAACCUACCUAUAAGACUGGGAUAACUUCGGGAAACCGGAGCUAAUACCGGAUAAUAUAUUGAACCGCAUGGUUCAAUAGUGAAAGACGGUUUUGCUGUCACUUAUAGAUGGAUCCGCGCCGCAUUAGCUAGUUGGUAAGGUAACGGCUUACCAAGGCAACGAUGCAUAGCCGACCUGAGAGGGUGAUCGGCCACACUGGAACUGAGACACGGUCCAGACUCCUACGGGAGGAAGCAGUAGGGAAUCUUCCGCAAUGGGCGAAAGCCUGACGGAGCAACGCCGCGUGAGUGAUGAAGGUCUUCGGAUCGUAAAACUCUGUUAUUAGGGAAGAACAAAUGUGUAAGUAACUAUGCACGUCUUGACGGUACCUAAUCAGAAAGCCACGGCUAACUACGUG